RNAcentral lists this ribosomal RNA (618 nucleotides) under Cortinarius casimirii. RNAcentral's name for it is "eukaryotic LSU rRNA". It matches the Rfam family "Eukaryotic large subunit ribosomal RNA", at positions 1 to 622 of the family's 3401-position model. Lineage: Eukaryota; Fungi; Basidiomycota; Agaricomycetes; Agaricales; Cortinariaceae. The record is from RNAcentral.
UGUGACCUCAAAUCAGGUAGGACUACCCGCUGAACUUAAGCAUAUCAAUAAGCGGAGGAAAAGAAACUAACAAGGAUUCCCCUAGUAACUGCGAGUGAAGCGGGAAAAGCUCAAAUUUAAAAUCUGGCGGUCUUUUGGCUGUCCGAGUUGUAAUCUAGAGAAGUGUUAUCCGCGCUGGACCGUGUACAAGUCUCCUGGAAUGGAGCAUCAUAGAGGGUGAGAAUCCCGUCUUUGACAUGGACUGCCAGGGCUUUGUGAUGCGCUCUCAAAGAGUCGAGUUGUUUGGGAAUGCAGCUCAAAAUGGGUGGUAAAUUCCAUCUAAAGCUAAAUAUUGGCGAGAGACCGAUAGCGAACAAGUACCGUGAGGGAAAGAUGAAAAGAACUUUGGAAAGAGAGUUAAACAGUACGUGAAAUUGCUGAAAGGGAAACGCUUGAAGUCAGUCGCAUCGUCCAGGGAUCAACCUUGCUUUUGCUUGGUGCACUUCCUGGUUUGAUGGGUCAGCAUCAAUUUUGACUGUUGGAAAAAGGCCUAGGGAAUGUGGCAUCUUUGGAUGUGUUAUAGCCCUGGGUCACAUACAAUGGUUGGGAUUGAGGAACUCAGCACGCCGCAAGGCCGGG